AUUGAACGCUGGCGGCAGGCCUAACACAUGCAAGUCGAACGGUAACAGGAAGCAGCUUGCUGCUUCGCUGACGAGUGGCGGACGGGUGAGUAAUGUCUGGGAAGCUGCCUGAUGGAGGGGGAUAACUACUGGAAACGGUAGCUAAUACCGCAUAAUGUCGCAAGACCAAAGAGGGGGACCUUCGGGCCUCUUGCCAUCGGAUGUGCCCAGAUGGGAUUAGCUUGUUGGUGGGGUAACGGCUCACCAAGGCGACGAUCCCUAGCUGGUCUGAGAGGAUGACCGGCCACACUGAAACUGAGACACGGUCCAGACUCCUACGGGAGGCAGCGGUGGGAAAUAUUGCACAAUGGGCGAAGGCCUGAUGCAGCAUGCCGCGUGUAUGAAGAAGGCCUUCGGGUUGUAAAGUACUUUCAGCGGGGAGGAAGGGAGUAAAGUUAAUACCUUUGCUCAUUGACGUUACCCGCAGAAGAAGCACCGGCUAACUCCGUG
RNAcentral lists this ribosomal RNA (489 nucleotides) under uncultured bacterium. RNAcentral describes it as "partial 16S ribosomal RNA". It matches the Rfam family "Bacterial small subunit ribosomal RNA", at positions 30 to 507 of the family's 1533-position model. The record is from RNAcentral.